ACUCCUACGGGAGGCAGCAGUGGGGAAUAUUGCACAAUGGGCGCAAGCCUGAUGCAGCCAUGCCGCGUGUGUGAAGAAGGCCUUCGGGUUGUAAAGCACUUUCAGUCGUGAGGAAGGUAGUGUAGUUAAUAGCUGCAUUAUUUGUACGUUAGCGACAGAAGAAGCACCGGCUAACUCCGUGCCAGCAGCCGCGGUAAUACGGAGGGUGCGAGCGUUAAUCGGAAUUACUGGGCGUAAAGCGCAUGCAGGUGGUUUGUUAAGUCAGAUGUGAAAGCCCGGGGCUCAACCUCGGAAUAGCAUUUGAAACUGGCAGACUAGAGUACUGUAGAGGGGGUAGAAUUUCAGGUGUAGCGGUGAAAUGCGUAGAGAUCUGAAGGAAUACCGGUGGCGAAGGCGGCCCCCUGGACAGAUACUGACACUCAGAUGCGAAAGGCGUGGGAGCAAACAGGAUUAGAUACCCCGU
Molecule: ribosomal RNA, 463 nt
Filed under: uncultured bacterium
Lineage: Bacteria
Description: bacterial SSU rRNA
Rfam family: Bacterial small subunit ribosomal RNA
Source: RNAcentral